CUGGAAGUUCACUCACCAAAGUGUUUUUCAAAUCCAAAAUCUCUAAACUGAGAAGAUUUCCAAUGGACUUGGGAAUUAUUUUUACUUCUGUAUUUUUCACACUCAAGUAGUGUAAAUUGAAUAAGUUUCCCACUCCUUCAGGAAGGUAAUCUAUAGGAGAAUCUUCCAGAUCUAGUACUUUCAUGAGCUUGAAAUUGGCAAUACUUGUUUUCAUGAAAGAGUUGGGCAGCUUAUCUAUAUUGAAAAGAAAAACAGUACGGACCUUCGAGUGCUUGAUGCUCUCUAAAGCACCAUCAUCAAUACUUCUCUGUAUAGUUAUUCGUCGAGUUUUACUGCAAUGACUCAAGUCCACUCCGUUCAGCACACGACCGAAGCCCAAUUCUUCAGUUUUUCUGAUGACGAUCUCGUGCAUAAGAUCAUGAACUUGGCAGAUACUAGCUCGCCCAGAAAUAUCUCUCUCUGAAACUUGAACCAAGCUUCUGUCAACGAGCUCAUUCAAGUAUUCUUCUGCAACCUGUUCAGAUGUGGUGCGUUUGCUGUACUGGACAAAGCCCUCAGCUAUCCACAAACGGAUAAGUUUGGAAACCAACCUGCUUCAAAGUGAAAAAGCUCGUAGUUGUAUGUCCCCCCGAGUCUAAGUUCCAAUAAAUUAGGCAAGGCGUGAAGGACUCUGAUUGGAUCCUCAGUCAAUCCCGACAAGUCCAAACCCACUCUGAUUACAUUUUUUAGUUUAAUAAUCCAAUCCGGCAGUUUCUUCAUAUUCCCCGUCAAGUAGAGACGCUGCAGAUAUUGAGGAGGACUACUCAAAGACUGCAAGUCAAGUAUUUCUUCUUUGCUUGCCAUUAACACUGUUAAAGACUCUAGGUUUUCCAAAUUUGCAAUCAAAGCACACACAUCCUUGCCAUUUCCAUUUUGGGGCCUAAUGCCCAACUUUCUUAACUGCCUUAGCUUCAUAAGCUCGUCAAGCGCUUGAGAGUCAGCUUCUAUAAUAGACAACUUCUGCAGAUCCGUUAGCGACCCAAGCCCCCGGUGUACUUUGGCUACUGCUGCUCCUGCUAUACUAGAACCUGAGGUAUAAUUGUACUGAUACACCAUUAGAUAACGCAACUUUUUAAGAUUCCUGAUCUCUACUGGAAGUUCACUCACCAAAGUGUUUUUCAAAUCCAAAAUCUCUAAACUGAGAAGAUUUCCAAUGGACUUGGGAAUUAUUUUUACUUCUGUAUUUUUCACACUCAAGUAGUGUAAAUUGAAUAAGUUUCCCACUCCUUCAGGAAGGUAAUCUAUAGGAGAAUCUUCCAGAUCUAGUACUUUCAUGAGCUUGAAAUUGGCAAUACUUGUUUUCAUGAAAGAGUUGGGCAGCUUAUCUAUAUUGAAAAGAAAAACAGUACGGACCUUCGAGUGCUUGAUGCUCUCUAAAGCACCAU
RNAcentral lists this long non-coding RNA (1424 nucleotides) under Citrus sinensis (sweet orange). RNAcentral's name for it is "long non-coding RNA (CSIN_LNC001629)". The record is from RNAcentral. Lineage: Eukaryota; Viridiplantae; Streptophyta; Magnoliopsida; Sapindales; Rutaceae.